This 643-nucleotide ribosomal RNA is filed under the name uncultured archaeon. Its description in RNAcentral is "bacterial SSU rRNA". It matches the Rfam family "Archaeal small subunit ribosomal RNA", at positions 168 to 809 of the family's 1478-position model. The record is from RNAcentral.
CACUGGAAGGUCCCUAAACCGAAAGGGGCUCUGCCCGCCCGAGGAUGGGCCGGCGGCCGAUUAGGUAGUUGGUGGGGUAACGGCCCACCAAGCCCAUAAUCGGUACGGGCAGUGAGAGCUGGAGCCCGGAGAUGGACACUGAGACACGGGUCCAGGCCCUACGGGGCGCAGCAGGCGCGAAACCUCCGCAAUGCUCGAAAGAGCGACGGGGGGACCCCAAGUGCCGUGGUACAACCACGGCUUUUCCGGAGUGUAAGAAGCUCCGGGAAUAAGGGCUGGGCAAGGCCGGUGGCAGCCGCCGCGGUAAUACCGGCGGCCCGAGUGGUGGCCACUAUUAUUGGGCCUAAAGCGUCCGUAGCCGGGCUUGUAAGUCCCUGGCGAAAUCCCACGGCUCAACCGUGGGGCUUGCUGGGGAUACUGCAAGCCUUGGGACCGGGAGAGGCCGGGGGUACUCCUGGGGUAGGGGUGAAAUCCUAUAAUCCCAGGAGGACCGCCAGUGGCGAAGGCGCCCGGCUGGAACGGGUCCGACGGUGAGGGACGAAGGCCAGGGGAGCAAACCGGAUUAGAUACCCGGGUAGUCCUGGCUGUAAAGGAUGCGGGCUAGGUGUUGCUUGGACCUCGAGUCCAAGCAGUGCCGCAGGGA